This 839-nucleotide ribosomal RNA is filed under the name uncultured Sphingobacteriales bacterium. RNAcentral describes it as "bacterial SSU rRNA". It matches the Rfam family "Bacterial small subunit ribosomal RNA", at positions 60 to 894 of the family's 1533-position model. The record is from RNAcentral. Lineage: Bacteria; Pseudomonadati; Bacteroidota; Sphingobacteriia; Sphingobacteriales.
AGUCGAGGGGCAGCAGGUCCGUAGCAAUACGGAUGCUGGCGACCGGCAAACGGGUGCGGAACACGUACACAACCUUCCUUUGAGCGGGGAAUAGCCCGGGGAAACCCGGAUUAAUACCUCAUAGUAUGGUGAAGAGGCAUCUCUUUACUAUUAAAGAUUUAUCACUUAAAGAUGGGUGUGCGGCUGAUUAGGUAGUUGGCGGGGUAACGGCCCACCAAGCCUACGAUCAGUAACUGGUGUGAGAGCACGACCAGUCACACGGGCACUGAGACACGGGCCCGACUCCUACGGGAGGCAGCAGUAAGGAAUAUUGGUCAAUGGACGAAAGUCUGAACCAGCCAUGCCGCGUGGAGGAUGAAGGUCCUCUGGAUUGUAAACUUCUUUUAUAUGGGACGAAAAAAGGCUUUUCCAGGUCGUCUGACGGUACCAUAUGAAUAAGCACCGGCUAACUCCGUGCCAGCAGCCGCGGUAAUACGGAGGGUGCAAGCGUUAUCCGGAUUCACUGGGUUUAAAGGGUGCGUAGGUGGGUUAGUAAGUCAGUGGUGAAAUCCCCGAGCUUAACUUGGGAACUGCCAUUGAUACUAUUAAUCUUGAAUACCGUGGAGGUCAGCGGAAUAUGUCAUGUAGCGGUGAAAUGCUUAGAUAUGACAUAGAACACCAAUUGCGAAGGCAGCUGGCUACGCGAAUAUUGACACUGAUGCACGAAAGCGUGGGGAUCAAACAGGAUUAGAUACCCUGGUAGUCCACGCCCUAAACUAUGGAUACUCGACAUCAGCGAUACACUGUUGGUGUCUGAGCGAAAGCAUUAAGUAUCCCACCUGGGAAGUACGAUCGCAGAU